AACGAACGCUGGCGGCAUGCCUAACACAUGCAAGUCGAACGAGACCUUCGGGUCUAGUGGCGCACGGGUGCGUAACGCGUGGGAACCUGCCCUUAGGUUCGGAAUAACUCCCCGAAAGGGGUGCUAAUACCGGAUAAUGUCUUCGGACCAAAGAUUUAUCGCCUUUGGAUGGGCCCGCGUUGGAUUAGCUAGUUGGUAGGGUAAAAGCCUACCAAGGCGACGAUCCAUAGCUGGUCUGAGAGGAUGAUCAGCCACACUGGGACUGAGACACGGCCCAGACUCCUACGGGAGGCAGCAGUAGGGAAUAUUGGACAAUGGGCGAAAGCCUGAUCCAGCAAUGCCGCGUGAGUGAUGAAGGCCUUAGGGUUGUAAAGCUCUUUUACCCGGGAUGAUAAUGACAGUACCGGGAGAAUAAGCUCCGGCUAACUCCGU
This 432-nucleotide ribosomal RNA is filed under the name uncultured bacterium. Its description in RNAcentral is "partial 16S ribosomal RNA". It matches the Rfam family "Bacterial small subunit ribosomal RNA", at positions 29 to 506 of the family's 1533-position model. The record is from RNAcentral.